GGUUUUGUUUUUAUUCUGAAAUUAUCACGUCACUUCGGGCACGUGUUAAACUUUCACACUGAUUUUGGAAUUGCUGUUUGUUCAGCCUCGGGAUUUAUUUUUUUUUGUUUUGUUUUGUUUUUAUCGAUGCUGCACUCUGAGAGAUUUUACAAAAAAAGCAUGUUAUUUCCAGGAUGGAUUUGUUAGAUUUGUUAGCUUCCCAGCAGUAAUUCAGCAGGUACAUUCUGUUGCAUUUUUGAUCUGGUUUUCCCUUCUCUCAACAUAAAUCUCUUUGAAGCAAAAGGUUUUUAUUCUGUGUUUGUAUGGAUGAUAAGGUGCUGGUCCUUGACUGAGUUUUCCUGUCUCAUGUGUGGCACACAAAUCCAAACAGCACUCUGUUUCUGGGCCAAGAAAGGGAUUUUCUGGGUUCACACUGAUGGCCACAGUGUGUUUGUGCUGGGCUCUGAGCAGCUG
Sturnus vulgaris (Common starling) is the source of this 453-nucleotide non-coding RNA. Lineage: Eukaryota; Metazoa; Chordata; Aves; Passeriformes; Sturnidae. The record is from RefSeq and is a predicted model, not a curated record.